UGGUCUUUUUGUCCUUUACCACCCGGUUUCCUCUCCUCCCUUUUUCAGCUGCUGUUACUACGCAGAGUUUGGAACCUAAGCUUUGAAAACUCUCAUAAGGCGCCUGUCUAAAGUCAGAGCAUGCUUAGUA
Unclassified non-coding RNA from Cavia porcellus (domestic guinea pig), 130 nucleotides. NCBI's taxonomy places the organism in Eukaryota, Metazoa, Chordata, Mammalia, Rodentia, Caviidae. The record is from Ensembl.